AAAACUAAACCCCGAAAACCCGAA
This 24-nucleotide non-coding RNA is filed under the name Gossypium hirsutum (cotton). The record is from RNAcentral. Lineage: Eukaryota; Viridiplantae; Streptophyta; Magnoliopsida; Malvales; Malvaceae.